AAUUUCAUCUGACCUAGUGCUGAGCAAGAGCUCCUGAGUCUGAGGAUGGCCACCAGGAAGACUUUGAGGUUCUCAGCUUCAUGGGAUGGUGCACAGAAGUACAGUGUGUACACAUCGGACGCUAGAGCAUCUGGGUUCAAAUCCCGCCUCUUGGAGCUGGUAGACUCUUACUCACUGGAAUCAGGAUACAAGCCAUGGCCCCUACAAAGUCCAUAGAGCCCUGGAGACCAAGCCCCCAGCUCUACCCCUGACCUGAUCUCUCACUGCUCUCUCCUCUCUGGGCCUACUCUAGUCAUAACAGGCCUCCAUAUUGACUCCAAGCAUUUAGAGCAGGCUCUUACCACGAACUCCUGAGCCUGCUGCGAACUCUACCCAAGGAAAAGGCCUCCUCCUCGGCUGCCUCUCUCUGUUUCUACACAAACCCCGUAGCAGAGCGACCACACUCUUCACCAAAACAGCCUCGUUUCUAUCUCUUUACCCGGGAUUUUUUUUCUCUAUGUCACUUAUCAACUUGAGGCAUGCUAAGUAUUUAUGGACUGUUAUUUGGGGGUGUACACAAUCUCAGGUAUGAGCUAAAACUGCAGAACGGGUUUCUUGAAAA
This is a long non-coding RNA of Rattus norvegicus (Norway rat), 601 nucleotides long. RefSeq lists it as uncharacterized. NCBI's taxonomy places the organism in Eukaryota, Metazoa, Chordata, Mammalia, Rodentia, Muridae. The transcript has 3 exons. The record is from RefSeq and is marked validated.